AUUAGGUCGAGAUUUUAACCUACUAUAGUUCCCUCAACUAAGGGAAUCUAAUAAUCAUGAAAUGUUCCUUUUGCCUAAAAACAUAAUAGGCACAUUGAGAUUUAACUCAAUUUAAUCACGACAUUACCACCAACAUAGAAAAAGUUAGAGUUUAAAUUUGUUUUCCAUGAAAAAGGAAUACUUAUUGCAACCUGCAAAUAAU
RNAcentral lists this long non-coding RNA (202 nucleotides) under Carica papaya (papaya). Its description in RNAcentral is "long non-coding RNA (CPAP_LNC014209)". The record is from RNAcentral. Lineage: Eukaryota; Viridiplantae; Streptophyta; Magnoliopsida; Brassicales; Caricaceae.